GCCUAUUCAUCUCAACUCCCGAUUCCAUUCUCCCCAAGUCCAUCAUAACCCUAGCCGCCAUGCACCAUGAACGAGAUCAUUUCAACAAAUCAGGCCGUCGAACAGCCAUCGAUCUCCCAUCCUCUCCGGCUACCCCAUGCCUCGACCCUCCUAAUGUUCUGUUGGUGUCGCUGCUCGACAACCAUACUAGGCGGCGGCCACGCGCUGGAGGCGGUGGCGGGGGAGGGAUGGGACACAGAGAAGCGGCCGGGCAGCGAAGCAGAGCACCGGGGAAAGGCGGACCAAGCGAAAUCCAGGUACGAGUUGUGUUUUCCCCUUUUAGAUUGAUGUCUCCAAGUUCAUCUUCUGCAACCGCGCGGUAGAUACAGGCGAAAUUUGUCCUGCAUGGCAAGUUGUUCAGCCAUCAGGCUGCUCUUAGCCUCUCUCACCAGUCUCGUAGAUCGCAUGUAAGUAACGCCCUCUCCCUGUCUCUUGUUUUCGGUCAGAUCGGAUGCUAGUUUUGAUCUGAAAAGAUGAAAUAAUGUGUAACAUAUCGCAACCACGAAUGAUUUAUCUUGUGACCGCUGGUUGUUACUUGGAGCAAUUGUCUUUCAGUGUUGGAUAGUGUUUUUCGUUGCAGUUCUAGUAUUUUAGUUGGAUUUAAUAACAGAGUAUUACUUGUUUUCAUUGGUAGCAGAUUAAUCAUGAAGCCCACUGUUAACAAGGCACUUCUCCGUGCCCCAUCACAAUAAUAUCUCGCACUUUGAAACUGAAAACUACCAUGCAGUAAGUGUUGUCCAUUGGUUAGUUCUGUGGCAACCACUUCUUACCUUUGUACUGGUGAUUGCACUCUUUAUUCUUCACGGGUUAACAUACUCUUCUUUGUAUUCAGCUACAUGCAGUGGUAACUAGUAAGGUCAUAUGUUUUCUAAUUCGCUGAUCAGCCCAUCUGCAGAAGUAAAGGGGAGCUUUCCUAAUCUCUGUUUUUAUUUUGCUGAUUUACAAUAUAACAUCAGCACAUCACAGUGCGUGCAACUGGUACUUCGCACUUACAAAGGGCAACUUAGUUUUUGAUACUGCAUGUCCACUCGGAUGGUCAGUCUGACAAUAUAUAUGACUUGUAGUGAGUGAUAAUAUCUAUGUUCAAACUUUAGAACUCUAAUGAUUUUGUAGAACUUGUUGUGGAGCUGGAGCGGUAGAUCUGAUCACGGUAGGAGCUUCAUUAAACCUGAAAUUACAUGAUUUGCUUUGGAAAACCUACAACUGAAGGAGGACCUUCAAAGAUUUUACCCGUGAUAUCCAAUCACUUAAACUGAUGCUAAUAUGUUUCGUAGCUUGAUGACUUGAACUUUGUAGGUUGCAGUCAUUUGUUAAUGAAGAAGAGAAAGAAAUAGUCACUUGUUGAACAAGAAGAGCUGGAAACGAUGCAUCAGCAUAUUAUUGUUUUACAAGAUCAGACAUGCACUAAAGUAUUCUUGAAUAGCCUAUCAAACAGAGACAAGGACGUUGCUCUUGCUACAAUUGUAAGCUGUGGUCCAAAACAUAAACUUGGUGCUGAAAUUACAAACCAGGUAUGGCUGUACAUGUCAAUGCCACACUUGUCAAAAUUGAAGAUUUGGUACCGAAGCAAAAUUUUCACUGAAGGAACUAAAAUUGCAUGGCCAUCAACCUUUAUUCAAAAGAUAAAUGGAUGAUGAUAUGGGUGACAACAAGUUGAAUGGAAGGAGAACAAUGUUGUUGUUGUUGUUGGAUAAUCUACUCUGGAUCUCUGCAUCUUUAGUUAUCUCGUAGGAGGGAAUUGAUGUUGUAAACAUAA
Molecule: non-coding RNA, 1795 nt
Organism: Lolium perenne
Lineage: Eukaryota; Viridiplantae; Streptophyta; Magnoliopsida; Poales; Poaceae
Source: RefSeq, a predicted model, not a curated record